UUUCCGUAGGUGAACCUGCGGAAGGAUCAUUAUUGUAUAACCGAGGUACGAGGACUGUCGCUAACCCGCUAGUUCGGGCAGGCCCGAGUUCGCUCACACACAAGCAUCACACCCCUAUGUGCAACACCGCGGGGGUGCCCCUGUUGGUUGGUCGGUGGGGGGGUGAGGUUUGCAGGCAAGCAUGGUAUGCAUUGUAGGAUGUAUUUGUUGUUUUUUCGAUCACGCUAUAAAUACAAAUUACAACAACGGAACUCUUGGUUGUCGCAUCGAUGCAGAAAG
Molecule: unclassified non-coding RNA, 279 nt
Filed under: plant metagenome
Description: partial contains small subunit ribosomal RNA, internal transcribed spacer 1, and 5.8S ribosomal RNA
Source: RNAcentral